UUCAAACCUACUGCUCCCAUCGAUCUUUUGCCUUUGCCUAUGCAGGAACGUGUGAACUUUGAUGCAAGCAAGCAAGCUGAAUUUGUCAAGAACCUUCAUGAUCGAGCUCGAGUAAACAUUGAGAAGAUGAUCAAGCUGUACGAGCAGCGUGCAAAUAAAGGGCGCAAGAAGAUGUUGUUUGAACCAGGAGACUUGGUUUAGGUGCACUUACGCAAGGAUCGCUUUCCUGAACAACACAAGAGCAAGUUGCAGCCCUAGAGUCGAUGGUCCCUUUCAAAGUACUUCGAAAGAUCAAUAACAAUGCAUAUGAGAUUGAUCUUCCAAGUACAUAUGGUGUUAGUACGAGUUUCAAUGUCUCCGAUCUCUCUACAUUCUUUGGAUCAGAAGAGUCGAGGACGACUCCUUUUCAAGAGGGGGAGGAUGAUGAGGACAUGCCAAUGGUUACUCAAGUUACACAUAAGUAUGUCAGGAAAGUUUGGAUCAUCGUGUAUCUAUUUUUGGAGGCUCAUCACAACUGAGGCAGAUACCUGAACAGCACCAUGACCACCUCAAGAGUGUGAAGAUCACAGGUUUCAGCUCCGCUAAGGGCUUGGUUGAGCUAACAUGUUAUAUUCUCAAGAACACGAAGUCACUAGAUUGCCUUACACUGGACACCACUUAUGGUGAUCCCAAGUGUGAUACUGAAAUGUCUGGCGGCAGCUGCAUACCCAUGAGUAAGGGUUUUCUCAUUGAAUCCCGUAGAGGUGCUGCGGCUAUUAGAACAUACAUCGAGGAUAAAGUUCCGUCUACAGUUAAGCUGACUGUUGUGGAGCACUGCAGGCGGUGCCAUGCUGAUAAGUUAUCCUAAUAGUAGGUGGGAUGUGAAAUAGUUUCAUCUUACCUUUAGAUGAACUAUGCUUGCAGGGCCUGUUCAAUGUUUUAUCACAGUAGGUACGGUGUAAUGCAACAUGUAAUAUAUCUUUAGAGAAGAGGGUGACAUGCA
Long non-coding RNA from Panicum virgatum (switchgrass), 982 nucleotides. RefSeq lists it as uncharacterized. The transcript is spliced from 2 exons. NCBI's taxonomy places the organism in Eukaryota, Viridiplantae, Streptophyta, Magnoliopsida, Poales, Poaceae. The record is from RefSeq and is a predicted model, not a curated record.